AACGAACGCUGGCGGCAUGCCUAACACAUGCAAGUCGAACGAGACCUUCGGGUCUAGUGGCGCACGGGUGCGUAACGCGUGGGAACCUGCCCUUAGGUUCGGAAUAACUCCCCGAAAGGGGUGCUAAUACCGGAUAAUGUCUUCGGACCAAAGAUUUAUCGCCUUUGGAUGGGCCCGCGUUGGAUUAGCUAGCUGGUAGGGUAAAAGCCUACCAAGGCGACGAUCCAUAGCUGGUCUGAGAGGAUGAUCAGCCACACUGGGACUGAGACACGGCCCAGACUCCUACGGGAGGCAGCAGUGGGGAAUAUUGGACGAUGGGCGAAAGCCUGAUCCAGCAAUGCCGCGUGAGUGAUGAAGGCCUUAGGGUUGUAAAGCUCUUUUACCCGGGAUGAUAAUGACAGUACCGGGAGAAUAAGCUCCGGCUAACUCCGUG
This 433-nucleotide ribosomal RNA is filed under the name uncultured bacterium. Its description in RNAcentral is "partial 16S ribosomal RNA". It matches the Rfam family "Bacterial small subunit ribosomal RNA", at positions 29 to 507 of the family's 1533-position model. The record is from RNAcentral.